GUGUGUUAUGGGAUGUAUGAUUCUGGAAAGCUGGCCUGGAGCGAGAUUGAUGUGGACCUUGGAUUCUCUGCCAGGGGUUUUGAACUUUUUGCUGCUGAGAAGAGGAGCCAUUAAAGAGGGGCACCCGAGAGCAAAAAACGAGAGAGCCGAGUUUUAUCGGCCAGGCGGCCCGUGCUUAAAGGUGACAUUCGAGAGAACAAUCGCUAGGUUGUUUGGUCACCUUUGCUGUGGUCAAAGAAGGAGGAGACUCAACAGCUGUUUCUUUCUCCCUUCAUUUUUCCAACAAAGAAGCUUCAUGAGAACAUUAACACCGAAAGAAAAUUGUGUUCACUGCAGGACUUUUCAAGGAUCGGUGGAAAGAUUUAUGUAA
RNAcentral lists this long non-coding RNA (370 nucleotides) under Canis lupus familiaris (dog). Its description in RNAcentral is "lncRNA (ENSCAFG00040009420.1)". Lineage: Eukaryota; Metazoa; Chordata; Mammalia; Carnivora; Canidae. The record is from RNAcentral.